This 468-nucleotide ribosomal RNA is filed under the name uncultured bacterium. RNAcentral describes it as "partial 16S ribosomal RNA". It matches the Rfam family "Bacterial small subunit ribosomal RNA", at positions 28 to 507 of the family's 1533-position model. The record is from RNAcentral.
GACGAACGCUGGCGGCGUGCUUAACACAUGCAAGUCGAACGGAAAGGCCCUGCUUUUGUGGGGUGCUCGAGUGGCGAACGGGUGAGUAACACGUGAGUAACCUGCCCUUGACUUUGGGAUAACUUCAGGAAACUGGGGCUAAUACCGGAUAGGAGCUCCUGCUGCAUGGUGGGGGUUGGAAAGUUUCGGCGGUUGGGGAUGGACUCGCGGCUUAUCAGCUUGUUGGUGGGGUAGUGGCUUACCAAGGCUUUGACGGGUAGCCGGCCUGGGAGGGUGACCGGCCACAUUGGGACUUAGAUACGGCCCAGACUCCUACGGGAGGCAGCAGUGGGGAAUAUGGCACAAUGGGCGGAAGCCUGAUGCAGCAACGCCGCGUGCGGGAUGACGGCCUUCGGGUUGUAAACCGCUUUCGCCUGUGACGAAGCGUGAGUGACGGUAAUGGGUAAAGAAGCACCGGCUAACUACGUG